Molecule: ribosomal RNA, 253 nt
Filed under: uncultured bacterium
Lineage: Bacteria
Description: partial 16S ribosomal RNA
Rfam family: Bacterial small subunit ribosomal RNA
Source: RNAcentral
UACAGAGGGUGCGAGCGUUAAUCGGAAUUACUGGGCGUAAAGCGCGCGUAGGCGGCUUUGCAAGUCGGGUGUGAAAGCCCGAGGCUCAACCUCGGAACUGCCUUCGAUACUGCGGGUCUCGAGUCCGGGAGAGGUGAGUGGAAUUCCUAGUGUAGAGGUGAAAUUCGUAGAUAUUAGGAAGAACACCAGUGGCGAAGGCGGCUCACUGGCCCGGUACUGACGCUGAGGCGCGAAAGCGUGGGGAGCAAACAGG